Molecule: transfer RNA, 63 nt
Filed under: Dipterophagus daci
Lineage: Eukaryota; Metazoa; Arthropoda; Insecta; Strepsiptera; Halictophagidae
Description: tRNA-Val
Source: RNAcentral
UAAAUUAUAGCUAAAAAUAAGUGUUUUAUUUACAUUAAAAAGAUAGUUAAUAACUUAAUUUAU